AAAAUAUCUCUCCCCUAAGCGCAAGUUCCUCUUCCUGUGUUUUUCUUUUCAUUAACCCAGUUACCCAAGUGUCAAACUUGAGAGACAUCCUACAUUGGCCCAUUUUCUCAGCCUCCAGAUUACAUCGGCUUCCAAGUCUGGCCACUUCUACUGGGUUAGUGUUUUCAAGCAGUUCCCUCUCCUCCAUGCCCUAGCUACUGCCCAGUCAUAUUUUGCUCAGAGAUCACCUCUCAACUUGUCUCCAUACCCUCCGUGCAGCCUCCACUCAUCUACCACUGCCAGGACCAGCUUUCUGGUUGGCAGCUUUGCGCCCGAGGGUUUCGCGAGCAGAGGCGGCGAGGACAGGGCGUCUCUGGCCCAGUCAGCCAGGAAGCAUGCGGUUCGGGCAGCAGCGCUAAGCGCCCCCACGCUGGGCACGGGGCGUACGAGCUCCGCGCGGCUAGCAGAGCGGCGGCGGUGGAGGGGAUGCACCCGGGACGCGCCAGGCUCCUGCCGCGAGCUACCAACCCGAGGUGGACCCUAAGUAGGGCUCAUCGCAGGACCGCGCAGACCCCUGCCCUCCGGGGCACGCGGCUGCGGAGCCUCGGGGACGUGUCUGCGGUCAGGAUGCCCUGGGCACCUCUCAGCUGGUGAGGAUGUCCUGCUGCGCGGCUCUGCAUCCACAGCCCCAGACCCUGGUGAACACGACUGCCUGGGCCCGGCAUUGGCCCCUCGUGCCGGUGGAUGAAAAACGCUGGAGUCCUUGAAUGCAUUAGCGAUC
Molecule: long non-coding RNA, 760 nt
Filed under: Sus scrofa (pig)
Lineage: Eukaryota; Metazoa; Chordata; Mammalia; Artiodactyla; Suidae
Description: lncRNA (ENSSSCG00070019422.1)
Source: RNAcentral